RNAcentral lists this ribosomal RNA (468 nucleotides) under uncultured bacterium. RNAcentral describes it as "partial 16S ribosomal RNA". It matches the Rfam family "Bacterial small subunit ribosomal RNA", at positions 28 to 507 of the family's 1533-position model. The record is from RNAcentral.
GACGAACGCUGGCGGCGUGCUUAACACAUGCAAGUCGAACGGAAAGGCCCUGCUUUUGUGGGGUGCUCGAGUGGCGAACGGGUGAGUAACACGUGAGUAACCUGCCCUUGACUUUGGGAUAACUUCAGGAAACUGGGGCUAAUACCGGAUAGGAGCUCCUGCUGCAUGGUGGGGGUUGGAAAGUUUCGGCGGUUGGGGAUGGACUCGCGGCUUAUCAGCUUGUUGGUGGGGUAGUGGCUUACCAAGGCUUUGACGGGUAGCCGGCCUGGGAGGGUGCACGGCCACAUUGGGACUGAGAUACGGCCCAGACUCCUACGGGAGGCAGCAGUGGGGAAUAUUGCACAAUGGGCGGAAGCCUGAUGCAGCAACGCCGCGUGCGGGAUGACGGCCUUCGGGUUGUAAACCGCUUUCGCCUGUGACGAAGCGUGAGUGACGGUAAUGGGUAAAGAAGCACCGGCUAACUACGUG